CCUACGGGAGGCAGCAGUGGGGAAUAUUGGACAAUGGGCGCAAGCCUGAUCCAGCCACGCCGCGUGAGUGACGAAGGCCUUAGGGUUGUAAAGCUCUUUUGGCGGGGAAGAUAAUGACGGUACCCGCAGAAUAAGCUCCGGCUAACUUCGUGCCAGCAGCCGCGGUAAU
This 169-nucleotide ribosomal RNA is filed under the name uncultured bacterium. RNAcentral's name for it is "partial 16S ribosomal RNA". It matches the Rfam family "Bacterial small subunit ribosomal RNA", at positions 338 to 524 of the family's 1533-position model. The record is from RNAcentral.